This 367-nucleotide ribosomal RNA is filed under the name uncultured bacterium. Its description in RNAcentral is "bacterial SSU rRNA". It matches the Rfam family "Bacterial small subunit ribosomal RNA", at positions 28 to 394 of the family's 1533-position model. The record is from RNAcentral.
GACGAACGCUGGCGGCGUGCUUAACACAUGCAAGUCGAGCGGUAAGGCCCUUUCGGGGGUACGACGAGCGGCGAACGGGUGAGUAACACGUGGGUGACUGCCCUCAGCUCUGGGAUAAGCCUGGGAAACCGGGGUCUAAUACCGGAUAUGACUCCAUGACGCAUGUUGUGGGGUGGAAAGCCUUGUGCGGCUGAGGAUGGGCCCGCGGCCUAUCAGCUUGUUGGUGGGGUGAUGGCCUACCAAGGCGACGACGGGUAGCCGGCCUGAGAGGGCGACCGGCCACACUGGGACUGAGACACGGCCCAGACUCCUACGGGAGGGCAGCAGUGGGGAAUCUUGCGCAAUGGGCGAAAGCCUGACGCAGCGA